Trichonephila inaurata madagascariensis is the source of this 72-nucleotide non-coding RNA. Lineage: Eukaryota; Metazoa; Arthropoda; Arachnida; Araneae; Nephilidae. The record is from the annotation of a GenBank genome assembly.
GCCUGCUAGCUCAGUCGGUAGAGCACGAAACUCUUAAUCUCGGGGUCAUGGGCUCGAGCCCCAAGUUGGGCG